RNAcentral lists this ribosomal RNA (1516 nucleotides) under Yoda sp. d ASH-2021. Its description in RNAcentral is "16S ribosomal RNA". It matches the Rfam family "Bacterial large subunit ribosomal RNA", at positions 264 to 2786 of the family's 2925-position model. The record is from RNAcentral. Lineage: Eukaryota; Metazoa; Hemichordata; Enteropneusta; Torquaratoridae.
CUAACAUAACUAACUCACCCCCCCCACCACAAUUUAAAACACGACUCAUCUACCCAACAAAUUAAAAUUAGAAGUAAAGGCGAUUGAACCUACAAUUAAAAUAAGUACCGUAAGGGAAUAAUGAAAAAGAAAUGAAAUAAUCAUAAAAAAAAAAAAAAAAGUGCCUUGCGCGCGUACCUUUUGCAUUAUGGUUUAGCUAACAAAAAGAUACCCCCAUCUCUCCCCGAAAUUAAGUGAGCUAUUCUCUCCCGGAGACUAAUUAUUUAGUGCUCUACUCCCAUUACUGUGGCAAUAGUAAAGAUAGAGGAAAGAAUAGAAGUAAAAUGCCAACCGCACUUAACGAUAGCUGGUUGUAGUCGAAACAAGCAGCAGCUUUGCACCCUAUAAAAGUGAUGUUAAGAUUUUAAGGAUAAGCUUAAAAUCUAAUACAGAAACAACUGCCAACCCAAAUAAGGCCAACAAUCAACCCCCCCCCGAAAUCGUAGACUUAAAAGCAGCCACCGAUAAAAGUGCGUUACAGCCUAUUUAAAACAUCCUUAAAAAUAAUUGAUAAUAAUACCGCCUAAUUUAUAAUAGACUACUAUUCCCCCCCGUGAAUAAAUACUGCUAAAACUAGUAACUUACCUUCAACCCUAAGUAAAUACGGCUUCUAACCUCGGAAUGAAAUUCCUUCAGUCAUAAAACCUCAGAAACUAAAAUAACCAAUACCGUUAACCAACUCAGGAGAAGGCCCUAAACCAAACUAAAGAGAAGGAACUCGGCAAACCCUGGCCUCGCCUGUUUACCAAAAACAUCACCCCCCGCAUCUAUUAAAUGGGGGGCACUGCCUGCCCAGUGAAUUUAUUUUAAACGGCCGCGGUAACUUAACCGUGCAAAGGUAGCACAAUCACUAGCCCUCUAAAUAAGGGCCUGUAUGAAUGGCAACACGAGGGCUGAACUGUCUCCUCUUUAUCCUACGAAACUUCUUUGGCCGUGCAAAAGCGUCCAUAAAAGCGCCAGACGAGAAGACCCUGUCGAGCUUCAGGAGUAAAAAACCGACUAAAAGUUACAAUCGGCUGACUAAAAUUUACGUUUUUACUCUAACCACACACUGUAACUUAUUCUCCCCCUCUUUCUUACCCCUUUGGUUGGGGCAACCCCGGAGAAAACCCACCCUCUGAAUCAAACUACUUUUAACCGACAUUACGUCCUAAACAAGAACCUUAUGAUACACAUGACCCGAUUAACCCGAACAACAAACAAAGUUACCGCAGGGAUAACAGCGUAAUCCCUCCCAAGAGCCCCCAUUGCCGGAGGGGUUUGCGACCUCGAUGUUGGAUCAGGGUACCCCGAUGGUGUAACCGCUAUCAAAGGUUGGUCUGUUCGACCAUUAAAACCCCACGUGAUCUGAGUUAAGACCGGCGAAAGCCAGGUCGGCUUCUAUCUACGCCAUUAGACUAUUUUCAGUACGAAAGGACAGAAAUAGCCGAGUCCCUAGGAACCCUACACUCGAUUAAAAAAAUGAUCACAACUAAUU